This is a long non-coding RNA of Canis lupus familiaris (dog), 694 nucleotides long. RefSeq lists it as uncharacterized. Lineage: Eukaryota; Metazoa; Chordata; Mammalia; Carnivora; Canidae. The record is from RefSeq and is a predicted model, not a curated record. The transcript is spliced from 3 exons.
CUUCCCCCCUCACCUGACAGUUUGGGGUCCAUGAUGGAGCCUGGAGCAGCCUCCUCGCUCUGGGCGGGUGGGAAUAGCCUGCCCUUCCAGAAGGGUGUGCUGCCCGUGAGGCCUGGAUGCGGGAGCCCACUCGAUUUGUCACCCUAGCAGUGGAUGGAGGACCCUUCAAAGUCUAAGUCAGGGCACAGGCACCCACAGAGCUUCCCUGGAGGUGGCUUCAUCUCCCUCAGAACAUUCGUUGAGAGAACUUGGCGUCGACCUUGCUCAGGAGGAGGAAGUGCCCUCCAUCUCCAGCCCAUGUUUGAGGAAUCUCAACAGAUGGGGACGAGCUGCCUUGUUGUCUCAUCCCAUUCAGAGGGGCCCGUGGUCCCAGACCAAGCAGAGACUACCUCUCAGGCUGCUGCUGGAGAACACAGAGCUUUCUGGAGGCUGUGCCCUGCAGAUUCAUUUCGGAUUUGACAUUUAAAAGAAUGUUCCACCCACGGCUUUUCUCUGAGAGAUGAGAGUAUCUGUGAAGUUAAUAUUCAGGUAGAGAAAUGGUGUGCUUGGGGAAAAUCACCGCGUCUGAAAUGCCGUGCCCCGGGACUUGAUUCGUAGGAGAACUGCAAGAACAAAAAGGUAAAAUGCAAAAUUCUUCUCUGACAUCUUCACUGCCCAGGAGGUCCCAGCUCAGACGCGGUGGGAGUCCUUUCCC